Molecule: unclassified non-coding RNA, 252 nt
Filed under: uncultured Paenibacillaceae bacterium
Lineage: Bacteria; Bacillati; Bacillota; Bacilli; Caryophanales; Paenibacillaceae
Description: contains 16S-23S intergenic spacer region
Rfam family: Bacterial small subunit ribosomal RNA
Source: RNAcentral
UACGUAGGGGGCAAGCGUUGUCCGGAAUUAUUGGGCGUAAAGCGCGCGCAGGCGGCAGCUUAAGUCUCGUGUAUAAGGUUGGGGCUCAACCCCGACACGCAGGGGAAACUGGGCUGCUUGAGUGCAGGAGAGAGAAGCGGAAUUCCACGUGUAGCGGUGAAAUGCGUAGAGAUGUGGAGGAACACCAGUGGCGAAGGCGGCUUCUUGGCCUGUAACUGACGCUGAGGCGCGAAAGCGUGGGGAGCAAACAGG